AACUAGUUUAGGAUUAAGGUUUAGCUAUUAUUCUAAACUGCUAGAAAAUGAUUUCUAGCUGAUUGCCAUUAUUGCAACCAAAUAAUAGGAAAUUAAUCAGAAAAUAAUACUCGAAAUAUUUUCCAGACAUUAUUCUUGGCGAAACAAAUGGACCUUAUUGCUCCUUUUACAUCCACGCGUGUGGACUGAAUAGUGAAUACCCUCACCCACAUGUACCACCAUGAGCUUACACUCUCACGUGCACAUACAAUGAUACAAACACCAAUCCAGAUAGUUUCUUGUACAUAACACAGACAUGGAUUAAUGUAGAACCAUGAAAAGAAAAUAAAAAAUGCAGAGAAAAGACAUGAAGCACUAAAUUUCAAUUUUAAUCAUCCUAAUACAACCUAAGUACCUAAAGUGCGUCUAAGAAUUACUUAUAUAGGUACUGUAAAAUAACCUAACCCAUUUAACAAAGCCAAAUACCAAAAAUGUCCUAAUAAUUAAAAAACCGAAACAACCUAAAUAAACUAUUUUCUUUCUAAAUAUGUAGGCCUAUAAUCUGUAACAAGAAGUCCUGCAUCAUAAAUUUAAUCCAUUAUCAACUUCAUUCUUUCCAGGUUCGAA
This 606-nucleotide unclassified non-coding RNA is filed under the name Hevea brasiliensis (rubber tree). Lineage: Eukaryota; Viridiplantae; Streptophyta; Magnoliopsida; Malpighiales; Euphorbiaceae. The record is from RNAcentral.